UACGAAGGGGGCUAGCGUUGCUCGGAAUCACUGGGCGUAAAGCGCACGUAGGCGGAUUGUUAAGUCAGGGGUGAAAUCUCCGGGCUUAACUCGGAAAGGUCAACUGAUACUGUGCGACUAGAGUGCAGAAGGGGCAACUGGAAUUCUCGGUGUAGCGGUGAAAUGCGUAGAUAUCGAGAGGAACACCUGCGGCGAAGGCGGGUUGCUGGGCUGACACUGACGCUGAUGCGCGAAAGCCAGGGGAGCGAACGGG
This 253-nucleotide ribosomal RNA is filed under the name uncultured bacterium. Its description in RNAcentral is "partial 16S ribosomal RNA". It matches the Rfam family "Bacterial small subunit ribosomal RNA", at positions 524 to 776 of the family's 1533-position model. The record is from RNAcentral.